CCGACGGUGAGGGACGAAAGCUGGGGGCACGAACCGGAUUAGAUACCCGGGUAGUCCCAGCUGUAAACGAUGCUCGCUAGGUGUCAGGUGCGGUGCGACCGCAUCUGGUGCCGCAGUGAAAACUUGAAGCGAGUCACCUGGGAAGUACGGUCGCAAGGCUGAAACUUAAAGGAAUUGGCGGGGGAGCACUACAACGGGUGGAGCCUGCGGUUCAAUUGGAUUCAACGCCGGAAAGCUUACCGGACUC
RNAcentral lists this ribosomal RNA (247 nucleotides) under uncultured archaeon. RNAcentral's name for it is "partial 16S ribosomal RNA". It matches the Rfam family "Archaeal small subunit ribosomal RNA", at positions 691 to 937 of the family's 1478-position model. The record is from RNAcentral.